This 128-nucleotide small RNA is filed under the name Marmota monax (woodchuck). Lineage: Eukaryota; Metazoa; Chordata; Mammalia; Rodentia; Sciuridae. The record is from RNAcentral.
GCCAGGCAUAGUGGCAUAGGCCUGUAAUCCCAGUGGCUCAGGAGGCUGAGGCAGGAGGAUUGCAAGUUCAAAGCCAGCCUCAGGAACUUAGAGAGGUCCUAAAGCAACUCAGCAAGACCCUGUCUCUA